This 253-nucleotide ribosomal RNA is filed under the name uncultured bacterium. RNAcentral's name for it is "partial 16S ribosomal RNA". It matches the Rfam family "Bacterial small subunit ribosomal RNA", at positions 524 to 776 of the family's 1533-position model. The record is from RNAcentral.
UACGAACUGUGCAAACGUUAUUCGGAAUCACUGGGCUUAAAGGGUGCGUAGGCGGCUUGUUAAGUAGGGUGUGAAAGCCCCCGGCUUAACCGGGGAAUUGCGCCCUAAACUGGCGAGCUGGAGUGAGAUAGGGGUGUGUGGAACUUCCGGUGGAGCGGUGAAAUGUGUUGAUAUCGGAAGGAACGCCAGUGGCGAAAGCGACACACUGGGUCUCAACUGACGCUGAGGCACGAAAGCCAGGGGAGCAAACGGG